UGCCGGUCCCCUCGCAACGAUACACUGCGAACUCCGCCAGGUCCGGAAGGAAGCAACGGUAGUAGUCGACUCGUGUGCCGGGGUGUGGCUGGUAGGG
This 97-nucleotide signal recognition particle RNA is filed under the name Alcanivorax sp. Its description in RNAcentral is "signal recognition particle sRNA small type". It matches the Rfam family "Bacterial small signal recognition particle RNA". From Rfam's summary of the family: The signal recognition particle (SRP) is a universally conserved ribonucleoprotein involved in the co-translational targeting of proteins to membranes. Archaeal SRP consists of a 7S RNA and homologues of the eukaryotic SRP19 and SRP54 proteins. Lineage: Bacteria; Pseudomonadati; Pseudomonadota; Gammaproteobacteria; Oceanospirillales; Alcanivoracaceae. RNAcentral also lists the same sequence under 2 other names. The record is from RNAcentral.